Non-coding RNA from Nematostella vectensis (starlet sea anemone), 86 nucleotides. NCBI's taxonomy places the organism in Eukaryota, Metazoa, Cnidaria, Anthozoa, Actiniaria, Edwardsiidae. The record is from Rfam.
GCCUCGUUAGCGCAGUAGGCAGCGCGUCAGUCUCAUAAUCGAAUUUAGAAAUCUGAAGGUCGUGAGUUCGAUCCUCACACGGGGCA